This 877-nucleotide long non-coding RNA is filed under the name Olea europaea subsp. europaea. The record is from RNAcentral. Lineage: Eukaryota; Viridiplantae; Streptophyta; Magnoliopsida; Lamiales; Oleaceae.
CUGGGCUGGAAUGUCAACAACUUAGUUCAAUGAUAUCAGGAAUGCAUUCUUUGAUAGGUAUGUGUACUCUAAGACGUUGCUAAAACAAUUUGUCGAACAAUACGAGCGAGCUUUGAAGAAUAAGGUGGAGAAGGAGUUUCGGGCAAAUUUCAAAUCUUACUCACAAAUGGUUCCAUGUGCAACAAAAUAAGAGCUAGAGAAGCAAUUUCAACUAGUUUACACCAUCUCAAAAUUCAGGGAAGUUUCAGGAUGAGUUCAUUGGGAAGGUCUACUGCGAUCUCAUAUUUUCGUUAGAGUGCUUUUCAGGACCAGGUAUGAGGUAUUGGAGGAUGUCAUACUUGACGAUCGAGUGAAGAAAAAGAGCUAUUAUGUCACUUUUCAAAAAAAGAAAUGUGAAAUCGUAUGUAGUUGUCACCUCUUCAAGUUCAGAGGAAUAAUUUGUAGGCAUGCGAUCGUUGUACUUAUCUGUAAUAACAUCACCUCACUGCCCGACUCCUACAUAUUACGGAGAUGGAGAAGAGACGUGAGUAGGGCCCACACAAGGUUGCAGCCAGCUACGAUAGUUUGAGUAGCAGUCCAGCCCAGUUGAGAUAUGACAAAUUGUGUCAAUCAUUUGCUUCUCUUGUGAACUUGGUUGCAGAGGACGAUUAAGAAAGCCGUCAGGUAAUGGAUUGGAUAGAUUGCAAAGAACGAACAGUUAACACGAUGAGGUCGACUGGUGGAAGUAAUUCAUGCUUUUUAGACAGCGUUGGAUGAUGGAGCAUCACAGCACUCUGUCAAGGGAAGUGUACGGGACUCAAAAUGCUUGAAUAGAAAAGGUGCACCAAAAAAACUCCAAAGGAAAAGUUGUUUGGAAUCGAAUUCCAAUAAAGUAAAG